CACUGCCCAGCCACCGCCGCGCCCGCCGCGCCCGCCGCUCCGGAAGACGAGCUCUGGUUCUGCCGGAAGGGGUGGGGCUGGGUGAGGUCAGGCUACAGCAGUGGGAGAGGCGUGAGGUCAGCCUGGGGCAGUUGGUGGCCUUCCUGCGCAGGUCAGGGCAGAGCCGCCGGCCUGAGAAUGAGGGCGCUGCUGAGCCCAGGGGUUGACAGCGCUGGUUCCUGCUGUGGUCCCAGAACUCCACCUGAAACCGGAGGGAAGCCGUCUGCCCGUAAAGCAUAUCCCCCCUGCUAGGAACUGAUCGAGGCCAGCAGACUCUCCAAUAUGUGUGUUUCACGCUUGCAGCACAUCGCAUUGUAGAGCCAGCCGCAUUUCAGUGGACCACAUUCUGUCACGAGGAGAUACCCCUCGUCCGAGG
Molecule: long non-coding RNA, 415 nt
Organism: Cervus elaphus (red deer)
Lineage: Eukaryota; Metazoa; Chordata; Mammalia; Artiodactyla; Cervidae
Exons: 4
Source: RefSeq, a predicted model, not a curated record